Long non-coding RNA from Amphimedon queenslandica, 509 nucleotides. RefSeq lists it as uncharacterized. The record is from RefSeq and is a predicted model, not a curated record. Lineage: Eukaryota; Metazoa; Porifera; Demospongiae; Haplosclerida; Niphatidae. The transcript has 3 exons.
UUUAUCAUAUCAAAAAAUUGCUCUUACAAGUCUCUAUCGAUUGGUGCUUGUUGCGCGUCAAUGUGGCUUUCCUAUCUCGAGUUAUGAGCCUUCGUAUAUCGUUCUUCCAAGCAAGAAGUGGAGAAAUUGCUGUAAAACCAAUUUUUAAUGUUUCCGUUUACUUUUCGUAUUACAAAUGACAUCACACGACUGAUCACAUGACAAUACAAGUUUAAAAUAGAGAAAAAGUUGCUUGAUGGUGUUGCUACAUAAAACUCUUGUUCCAUCAUUGUUUAGGAUAAAGACAAAGACAUCAAGCCAACUAAGGAAGAGCCAGUUACCAUUCCAGUUAUGGUGUGUUCCCUCUUAGCCUCUGAGAACAAAGGACAUGGUGCCACAGACCUAGAAAAGCAAAGACAGAACAUUUAAAACAGUUUCUUAAAUUUAUAUUGAAAAGAUUAUAUUUAUCAUGAUAAUUAUUGUCAAGAUUUUUGCAGGUAAAGAAUGUUAUGAAUGAUCCCUCAACAUCA